GUUAUACUCCCUCCGUCCGGAAUUACUUGUUGCAUAAAUGGAUAGAAAUGGACGUAUCUAGAACUAAAAUAAGUCUAGAUACAUCCACUUCGCGGACAAGUAUUUCUGGACAGAGGGAGUAUUCC
Triticum aestivum (bread wheat) is the source of this 125-nucleotide non-coding RNA. NCBI's taxonomy places the organism in Eukaryota, Viridiplantae, Streptophyta, Magnoliopsida, Poales, Poaceae. The record is from Rfam.